UCGACAGUGGAUAGGCCUUGCCACCUCUACUUUAUAUAUCAAUUGCCAAUCCCAUCCUCUUAGCUUCACUCACAGCAUAGCAAAGCUUCUUCAUCUUCGAGUACUCGAUCAAGCUGGUUUCUGUGUCUUCUGCUGCCUUAACGAUGCAUCCCGACGAGUUAUGCAGUGACGGCAGAGAAGCUGGGAAUGAUUUGCUUGGGCUUUCCGCUGCAAUGGGCCAAAAGGUCUCAUCUUCAGCAACCUUGAGGAGCAAGAAGGGGAAAUCAUCAACAUCAAUGGCUUUACCGUCAGUUGAGAAGCCAGUCAAGCCGGUCAAACUUCGAGCUUGGCCUCAGUUAGCGCCCGAGUUCGAUGGGCUGAACAGUUUCGAGACCCUGGUAUCACAAUGAAUGCGUGUGUUUUUUCACUCUCAGUCGACGAUGAUUACGUCCUGCCUGUCAUUUUCAUGUAUACAAAAGCUUAUGUUUCACUGGAGUACUGCAUGUGUAAUGUACUAUUCGAAUCGAAUUCUCAGUAAUCCCAGAGUUAGCUCAGAAGAUCGUGUAACUUUUUCA
This is a non-coding RNA of Punica granatum (pomegranate), 554 nucleotides long. The record is from RefSeq and is a predicted model, not a curated record. NCBI's taxonomy places the organism in Eukaryota, Viridiplantae, Streptophyta, Magnoliopsida, Myrtales, Lythraceae.